UACGAAGGGAGCUAGCGUUGUUCGGAAUUACUGGGCGUAAAGGGCGCGUAGGCGGGUUUCCAAGUCGGGGGUGAAAUUCCAGGGCUCAACCCUGGGACGGCCUUCGAUACUGGGAGCCUGGAGAUCGGGAGAGGUGAGUGGAAUUUACGGUGUAGCGGUGAAAUGCGUAGAUAUCGUAAGGAAGACCAGUGGCGAAGGCGGGUCUCUGGACAGUUCCUGACGCUGAGGCACGAAGGUCAGGGGAGCAAACGGG
This 253-nucleotide ribosomal RNA is filed under the name uncultured bacterium. RNAcentral's name for it is "partial 16S ribosomal RNA". It matches the Rfam family "Bacterial small subunit ribosomal RNA", at positions 524 to 776 of the family's 1533-position model. The record is from RNAcentral.